AUUAAUUUCAAGGAAUGUAAGACCCUGAUAAGCGUAGCAGGGCUCACGAGAACAGGGGAAGCACCGCAAGAAUAGAGAAGGGCAGUAGUGAUUUUAACUGAUAUCUCACUCCGGAGGGUAACAAAGGCAGAGAGAGGACAGCUGCUGGUGUCCCAAAGCUGCUCUCACCCAUAUGCUUCUCGACUGUGUACUGCCAUGGUGCCUGCUGAAGUUAUCGCCGACUGGCUGGGGUGGUGUCUUACCACAGAGGAAGAAAUAAGGCUGCCAUCACUACAAACCUUUGGGAGAGGACUGCAGAAUAUCUCCAUGAAAGUUUCACUGCGAUCUCUCAGGAGGAUUCAGUAACUGCAGCCAACAUCUAAGUUGCUGAAACAUGAAAUUUCUUCCCUUGAAUAGACAACCUUGGAAUGUCUAACCCAAAAGAAAUCCCAUUAGUCAUACACAGAGUCUGUCUCUGGGAAAAUUGCUAGUGGAAGUGGGACAAAUAGGCCAGGUAAGAUGAGUAAUGUAUUUAUUCUGGAUUCAUAAGAGCUGAUCCACCUUUGAUUUCCAGUGGUGGUGGGGGUAGAUGGAUGUGAAAUGUGUGGUUAAGCAGGGAGAUCAGACUGCUCUCUCUUUGGGAGGAGU
Non-coding RNA from Caretta caretta (loggerhead turtle), 627 nucleotides. NCBI's taxonomy places the organism in Eukaryota, Metazoa, Chordata, Testudines, Cheloniidae. The record is from RefSeq and is a predicted model, not a curated record.